Small nucleolar RNA from Malania oleifera, 91 nucleotides. RefSeq annotates it as small nucleolar RNA SNORD24. NCBI's taxonomy places the organism in Eukaryota, Viridiplantae, Streptophyta, Magnoliopsida, Santalales, Ximeniaceae. The record is from RefSeq and is a predicted model, not a curated record. The transcript has a single exon.
GGCCUGUGAUGAUUCAACAAUAUUUGCUACUCUUGAUGGGCAAAUAUUUUUUCCCAUCUGAUGACUCCCAUCCACCAAGAUCUCUGAGGCU